ACACUGCUGACGAGUCUCAAACAAGACGAAACAGCUGUCCAGUGC
RNAcentral lists this non-coding RNA (45 nucleotides) under Echinostoma caproni. The record is from RNAcentral. Lineage: Eukaryota; Metazoa; Platyhelminthes; Trematoda; Plagiorchiida; Echinostomatidae.